This 250-nucleotide ribosomal RNA is filed under the name Hansenula anomala. RNAcentral's name for it is "Wickerhamomyces anomalus partial large subunit ribosomal RNA". It matches the Rfam family "Eukaryotic large subunit ribosomal RNA", at positions 36 to 283 of the family's 3401-position model. Lineage: Eukaryota; Fungi; Ascomycota; Saccharomycetes; Phaffomycetales; Wickerhamomycetaceae. The record is from RNAcentral.
UGCCAUAUCAAUAAGCGGAGGAAAAGAAACCAACAGGGAUUGCCUCAGUAACGGCGAGUGAAGCGGCAAAAGCUCAAAUUUGAAAUCUAGCACCUUCGGUGUUCGAGUUGUAAUUUGAAGAUGGUAACCUUGGGUUUGGCUCUUGUCUAUGUUCCUUGGAACAGGACGUCAUAGAGGGUGAGAAUCCCGUCUGAUGAGAUGCCCAUUCCUAUGUAAGGUGCUAUCGAAGAGUCGAGUUGUUUGGGAAUAA